ACUCUUAAUGUGAAACUGAAGCUGCUCAAGGAAAUUGCUGAAGUGAGCUAGACAGGAUUCCAGUGCGUUCGGAACUGAAUUGCUGAAGCCACAUGAAGACUUACUGAGAGGUCCGAUACAAUUUAUCAGUGGUUCUAAGUUGCCCUUCAGUAGUGAGAAACUUGAUGAACCACUGUAUUCCCGCACCCAAACAAGAUAAGGAGAAACAAUCUGAUUCUGAUGCGAAUUUUGAAAUACUAGAUUUUCCAGAAGUUACUAAGUCAGUCAGUAGAAGUGUUGCUGAAGAAAUCAGUUAGCAAUGCUAGUAAAUGAAUGUGUUAAACAAGGAACUAAAAGUGUCACAGGGAUUGCAAUAUGCAAGCUAAGUAGAAGACUUCUUCUUGCUGAAAGAAGAAUUACCGCUUAAUGGAAAUCACAUUUGGAGAUUAAAAUAGUUGACUGAAGUUCAGAUUUGUAUUUACUGAAGGACAGCAACCAGAAAUUACCUUCAAGAGCUUUAGCAGAUACAAAGACAUAUUGUGGGGACAGAAUAAGAUUUAAAUGCAUCUUUUGGUUCGACGGAUGUGUUUUCCAAACAGGUCGCAAGAGUUCAAGAAAUUUUCUUUUGAAGAACUAGAAUGAGAUAUUCUGAUUUAAUUUUGUUUAUUGCACUUUUAAGCAUAUAUUGCUCUUAGUAUUUAAUAUGGACGGAACAUAAUUAUAUUUCUCAAGUGAACAGUUACAUUUGUAUAUUUCUGCAAUACAAUAUUGAUACAUGAUUUGAAUUUA
Long non-coding RNA from Olea europaea var. sylvestris, 768 nucleotides. RefSeq lists it as uncharacterized. NCBI's taxonomy places the organism in Eukaryota, Viridiplantae, Streptophyta, Magnoliopsida, Lamiales, Oleaceae. The transcript is spliced from 3 exons. The record is from RefSeq and is a predicted model, not a curated record.